RNAcentral lists this ribosomal RNA (1204 nucleotides) under metagenome. Its description in RNAcentral is "bacterial SSU rRNA". It matches the Rfam family "Bacterial small subunit ribosomal RNA", at positions 310 to 1520 of the family's 1533-position model. The record is from RNAcentral.
ACAUUGGGACUGAGAUACGGCCCAGACUCCUACGGGAGGCAGCAGUGGGGAAUAUUGCACAAUGGGCGCAAGCCUGAUGCAGCGACGCCGCGCGCGGGAUGACGGCCUUCGGGUUGUAAACCGCUUUUGACUGGGAGCAAGCCCUUCGGGGUGAGUGUACCUUUCGAAUAAGCACCGGCUAACUACGUGCCAGCAGCCGCGGUAAUACGUAGGGUGCAAGCGUUAUCCGGAAUUAUUGGGCGUAAAGGGCUCGUAGGCGGUUCGUCGCGUCCGGUGUGAAAGUCCAUCGCUUAACGGUGGAUCCGCGCCGGGUACGGGCGGGCUUGAGUGCGGUAGGGGAGACUGGAAUUCCCGGUGUAACGGUGGAAUGUGUAGAUAUCGGGAAGAACACCAAUGGCGAAGGCAGGUCUCUGGGCCGUCACUGACGCUGAGGAGCGAAAGCGUGGGGAGCGAACAGGAUUAGAUACCCUGGUAGUCCACGCCGUAAACGGUGGAUGCUGGAUGUGGGGACCAUUCCACGGUCUCCGUGUCGGAGCCAACGCGUUAAGCAUCCCGCCUGGGGAGUACGGCCGCAAGGCUAAAACUCAAAGAAAUUGACGGGGGCCCGCACAAGCGGCGGAGCAUGCGGAUUAAUUCGAUGCAACGCGAAGAACCUUACCUGGGCUUGACAUGUUCCCGACAGCCCCAGAGAUGGGGCCUCCCUUCGGGGCGGGUUCACAGGUGGUGCAUGGUCGUCGUCAGCUCGUGUCGUGAGAUGUUGGGUUAAGUCCCGCAACGAGCGCAACCCUCGCCCUGUGUUGCCAGCACGUCGUGGUGGGAACUCACGGGGGACCGCCGGGGUCAACUCGGAGGAAGGUGGGGAUGACGUCAGAUCAUCAUGCCCCUUACGUCCAGGGCUUCACGCAUGCUACAAUGGCCGGUACAACGGGAUGCGACCUCGUGAGGGGGAGCGGAUCCCUUAAAACCGGUCUCAGUUCGGAUCGGAGUCUGCAACCCGACUCCAUGAAGGCGGAGUCGCUAGUAAUCGCGGAUCAGCAACGCCGCGGUGAAUGCGUUCCCGGGCCUUGUACACACCGCCCGUCAAGUCAUGAAAGUGGGUAGCACCCGAAGCCGGUGGCCCAACCUUUUGGGGGGAGCCGUCGAAGGUGAGACUCGUGAUUGGGACUAAGUCGUAACAAGGUAGCCGUACCGGAAGGUGCGGCUG